This 84-nucleotide non-coding RNA is filed under the name unclassified sequences. The record is from RNAcentral.
UACUAUUUGCCGCCGGGUAAACCAGAAUGUUGGAUUUUGUAUCAGUAGGCCGUUGGAGAUACAAAGUGCCGGCAUUUUUUUAUU